This is a non-coding RNA of Dipodomys ordii (Ord's kangaroo rat), 58 nucleotides long. The record is from Rfam. NCBI's taxonomy places the organism in Eukaryota, Metazoa, Chordata, Mammalia, Rodentia, Heteromyidae.
UGGCUCAGUGGUAGAGCGCUUGCCUUGCAUGCAUGAGGCUCUGGGUUCAAUUCCUCAG